Molecule: ribosomal RNA, 488 nt
Filed under: uncultured bacterium
Lineage: Bacteria
Description: partial 16S ribosomal RNA
Rfam family: Bacterial small subunit ribosomal RNA
Source: RNAcentral
GAUGAACGCUAGCGGCAGGCCUAAUACAUGCAAGUCGGACGGGAUCCAUUGAUAGCUUGCUAUCAAUGGUGAGAGUGGCGCACGGGUGCGUAACGCGUGAGCAACCUGCCUCCAUCAGGGGGAUAGCCUCUCGAAAGAGAGAUUAACACCGCAUAAUAUCAACAGUUCGCAUGUUCAGUUGAUUAAAUAUUUAUAGGAUGGAGAUGGGCUCGCGUGACAUUAGCUAGUUGGUAGGGUAACGGCUUACCAAGGCGACGAUGUCUAGGGGCUCUGAGAGGAGAAUCCACCACACUGGUACUGAGACACGGACCAGACUGCGACGGGAGGCAGCAGUAAGGAAUAUUGGUCAAUGGGCGGAAGCCUGAACCAGCCAUGCCGCGUGCAGGAUGACUGCGCUAUGGGUUGUAAACUGCUUUUGUCCAGGAAUAAACCUAAAUACGAGUAUUUAGCUGAAUGUACUGGAAGAAUAAGGAGCGGCUAACUCCGUG